UCGUGGAUAGGCCGCCAUUACACGUGAACUGUUGUGGCGGUUUUGCUUUGUUACAACGGUUUCGAUACGUGGUGCACGCCGUUCUCAUUCCUGGCGUCAAACCAUACCGCAACUCGGAUUCUGUCAUGAACAGAGGUAACCUCCUCUAGUUAGUUAACCGCUACGUCUCGAAUAAUGCCAAAACAAAAAGGACGAACUUUCCGCCGACACAUUCAAAAGCGCGUGGAAGAAAGCAUUGAGCUCGUUGAAAGUGUCGGUAUCGAUUCUUAUGAACCGGGCCACGCUAGCGGUGACAGAGACUCAACGCCUGAACUGUCGUCUGAUUCAGAUACAAAUGUAGAAGGUCUGGCUAGCGAGUCUCCAACUAGCCCGGCUGACUACAGAGAUCUAACGCCUGAAAUACCGCGUGUAUUAGACACAGACGUGGAAAGUUCUGACAGCGAGUCUAAUUCGAGCAAUGAUAGAGACGUAGAGGCUGAUGUACCAUCCCUGGGCUUCAACGUCUCGCCGUAUUCGUUCGUAGAGACUGACUCCCAGUCGGGUUUGUCGGGGUCACCGCAACGAGAUGAUGCUGUGCGAGCGAAUCCUACGCUAAGAGACGAUUUGCGUGACUGGAGUCUCGAGUUUCUCGUUACACGCGAUGCUUUGACCGCCCUUCUGAAACGGCUUCGCAACCAUGGCCACCCUGACCUCCCGUCCACCUCGAAGACACUUCUCAGUACUCCUCGUGAUUCAUCACCUGUAAUAUCACUGAGUGGGGGUAGAUAUUGUCACUUCGGUUUGGCUGCUGGAAUUCGUCGUAGCCUGACGGGUAUUGCAGAUGUGCCAGCUUUAGUGGAAAUCAUCCUAAACGUAGAUGGGCUUCCAUUAGCGAAGAGUGCACUCGACCAAUUUUGGCCAGUUUUAUGCAGGGUUGUUGGCUGUGGUUCUGGAGACCCAUUUCCAAUUGGUGUUUUCUAUGGUAAGAGCAAGCCACUAGAUGCAAAUGCUUUCUUGCGUCCAUCUGUUGAUGACAUCAAGCAGGUGCUUGAACAGUCUGUUUCCAUUAAUGACAGGACUGUUGCUGUGGCAUUGAAGGCCCUUGUCUGUGAUGCCCCCGCAAAGUCCUAUGUGCUGUCUAUCAAAGGGCAUACAGGGUACUAUAGUUGUACAAAAUGUGUUACCGCAGGCGAAUAUUUGAAGGGCCGUACCUGUUUCCCUGACUUAAAUGCAGAACUUCGUACUGAUGAGUCCUUUAGAAGCCGGAGCCAGGAAUGCCACCACACAGGUGUCUCAAUUCUGGAGGAGCUGCCAAUGGACCUUGUAGCACAAGUACCGCUUGAUCCCAUGCAUGUGAUUUAUCUUGGGGUGUGCAGGAAGCUGCUACUCCUGUGGUUUCGAUCCCAGAAUCAUUUGUUUAGCAGAUCAGUACAAGGAGACAUUUCGGACAAACUUGAGUCAUUGCGAGCUUUCACCGCAGCAGAGUUCAAUCGAAAGCCACGUCGUCUUGACGAGGUUGAACGGUGGAAGGCCACGGAAUUCAGGUUUUUUGUCUUGUAUGCGGGCCCGGUUGUCCUAAAUGGUGCACUUCCACCAAGCUUUUACAAGCAUUUUCUGGUACUUCACUGUGCUAUCAGUAUCCUUUCAUCACAUACCCCCAGCAGUGAACUGAUGGACUAUGCGCACCAGCUUUUGAAGCAUUUUGUGGAGUCUUUCAUUAUUCUCUAUGGAAAAGCCCAUGUUUCACACAACGUACAUGCUUUGCUCCACUUGACCUCUGAUGUGAGACGCCAUGGCCCAUUGGAGGAGUGGAGUGCUUUCCGCUUUGAGAACUUCAUGCAGAAGCUAAAAAAGCUCAAGCGAAAGCCAGAAAAACCACUUGAACAGCUUUAUAACCGCAUCAGCGAGGAGAACAGAAUGCCGGUCUCCGUUUCGGUUAGGUUGCCUAGGCUCUUAUUAUCAAGAAGACACACAGAAGGCCCACUUCCACUUGGUUGCAAGGGACCACAGCACAAAAAAGUUGUCAUUGACAAACUUGUACUACGCACGAAGGAGCCUGACAACUGUUGUGUGAUGCUUGACGGCAGCAUAGUUCAAGUAGAAAAUGUAGCACACACAAUGUCAGGUUCAUGCUGCUUGGUGGGAAGAAAGUACCUGAUCAAGGAUGACUUCUACACUAAACCAUGCCGCUCCUCGCUACUGUCUAUUUAUGUGGUGUCCCAGCUGUCCUCCUUGCACGUUUGGAAAAUUAGUGACUUGAAACGCAAAUGCAUGAAGUUUCCUUUCGAUGGGAAGUUUGUGGUCUUUCCUCUUCUGCACACAUUCUAGAAACCCUUUUGCAGGUGCCGCAGACUAUGGCCUGCUUUUGGCAUUAUCUCAGUUUUUGUAGUACUGUAUGGUAUUUUUCUAUGUUUUCUUGGAUUUGUUUCGGAUGGCUUCCUACGCGAGUCAUCCACGUUUGUCUUGCAUACCAUUUUCUGGCCUUAUUGAUAAUGUUGUGUACCAUGUCCUGGGUUAACUGUCUGGUGCUGACAACCUGUUGCAUCAUAAACAAGACACAGGGAAAAGAAAUUUGUUCUUGCCACAUUUAUCGCAGCUUGUGUACUUUUAUGCAGACGGCCGUUCUUUCGCAAUAGUCAGAUUUACUGACGAAAAUGAUGAGGUGGCCGUUGUCCCCAGCAGUUGGAUCGUUGAUAAUCACUGCAUGUGGCCACCAGUGAAAAGCUCUCAAAUCCCAAGUCUUGUAAGGAGAUCUGUUCAUCCGAUGCCAAACUGGGCUGAGUGCCCAUGCAAGCCUAUGGAAUGGUUUGGAUCAUAUGAUGAAGCAAGGAUAAAACUUCCAUUUGCUGUGGAGACCUCAGACUUGUGUACAGAGAAGGUACUACCGCCGAAAAGGAAACGUGCAAGGCGUCGAAUUUCCUCGGGCGAUGAUUCUGAUGAACUCUCAGAUUCUGGUCUUCCUCUGUUUCCCUCACCACCUUAUUCUCAACGUCACACAGGA
Ornithodoros turicata is the source of this 2980-nucleotide RNA transcript. RefSeq lists it as uncharacterized. Lineage: Eukaryota; Metazoa; Arthropoda; Arachnida; Ixodida; Argasidae. The transcript has 2 exons. The record is from RefSeq and is a predicted model, not a curated record.